Molecule: ribosomal RNA, 502 nt
Filed under: uncultured bacterium
Lineage: Bacteria
Description: partial 16S ribosomal RNA
Rfam family: Bacterial small subunit ribosomal RNA
Source: RNAcentral
AUUGAACGCUGGCGGCAUGCCUUACACAUGCAAGUCGAACGGCAGCACGGGUGCUUGCACCUGGUGGCGAGUGGCGAACGGGUGAGUAAUAUAUCGGAACGUGCCCUAGAGUGGGGGAUAACUAGUCGAAAGAUUAGAUAAUACCGCAUAUGAUCUGCGGAUGAAAGUGGGGGAUCGCAAGACCUCAUGCUCUUGGAGUGGCCGAUAUCUGAUUAGCUAGUUGGUGGGGUAAAAGCUCACGAAGGCGACGAUCAGUAGCUGGUCUGAGAGGACGACCAGCCACACUGGAACUGAGACACGGUCCAGACUCCUACGGGAGGCAGCAGUGGGGAAUUUUGGACAAUGGGGGCAACCCUGAUCCAGCAAUGCCGCGUGAGUGAAGAAGGCCCUCGGGUUGUAAAGCUCUUUUGUCAGGGAAGAAACGGUGAGAGCUAAUAUCUCUUGCUAAUGACGGUACCUGAAGAAUAAGCACCGGCUAACUACGUGCCAGCCGCCGCGGUAA